AGCAUAUCAUUAAGCGGAGGAAGAGAAACUAACAAGGAUUCCUUAGUAACGGCGAGUGAACAGGGAAGAGCCCAGCACGAAGCCUGUGGUCAUUUGAUCACCAGGCAAUGUGGUGUUCAGGUCGUUCCGCGGAGGCACUGCUCCACCCUAAGUCCAAUAAUGAGAACGGUUUCUCGGACAUGGCCCAUGGAGGGUGAAAGGCCCGUGGGGGUGGAGAUCAGGUUGGCCAGUGCUGCUCUGGGGAGACCUUGGAGUCGGGUUGUUUGUGAAUGCAGCCCAAAGCGGGUGGUAGACUCCAUCCAAGGCUAAAUACAACACGAGUCCGAUAGCGAACAAGUACCGUGAGGGAAAGUUGAAAAGUACUCUGAAGAGAGAGUAAACAGUGCGUGAAGCCGUUCAGAGGUAAACAGAUAGAGUUGAACUGUGAGUUCCGAUGGUUCAGCUGGUGACUUUGGUUGAGCUUGGUCAAAAUGGUUGGGCUUUGAGGUCUGUGUAGCAACAGGUUCUUGCCUUCGGGUGAGAAUGCGCGAUGCACUCGUCGAGUGUUGUGCGCCUCAGAUGUCCCGAGCCGAGUCGCCAGUGCAUUCCGUCGGGACGGUCACCACGACCGGCACUAUCGUCUGUCUUUUGUGGUUAAACCGUGCGUGCUUCGUCCUUGUGGCUUUGUGCGUGCGGGAUGGCAGGUAGCUCAUUGGUUUGUUUACAAGCCUUUGGGUGAAAUAGCUGACUGCAAUUUGACUGUGCGUUGUGCCGGGGACGGCGGCUUGAGGUGUGUGCGUGUGUGCUAGUUUGCUGGCGUAUCCGUGUCAGGUUGCUCAGUUGCUCACCUAGUGGGCCAAGCGGCGA
Molecule: ribosomal RNA, 846 nt
Filed under: Plagioporus sp. 1 SB-2020
Lineage: Eukaryota; Metazoa; Platyhelminthes; Trematoda; Plagiorchiida; Opecoelidae
Description: partial large subunit ribosomal RNA
Rfam family: Eukaryotic large subunit ribosomal RNA
Source: RNAcentral